GGUGCCUUAGCAAAGUGGUUAUGCACCGGACUGCAAAUCCGUUCACGGCGGUUCGAAUCCGCCAGGCACCU
This 71-nucleotide transfer RNA is filed under the name Porphyromonas sp. HMSC065F10. It matches the Rfam family "tRNA". Rfam says of the family: Transfer RNA (tRNA) molecules are approximately 80 nucleotides in length. RNAcentral also lists the same sequence under 4 other names. Lineage: Bacteria; Pseudomonadati; Bacteroidota; Bacteroidia; Bacteroidales; Porphyromonadaceae. The record is from Rfam by way of RNAcentral.